Molecule: ribosomal RNA, 1078 nt
Filed under: Hypocreales sp. FY-2022b
Lineage: Eukaryota; Fungi; Ascomycota; Sordariomycetes; Hypocreales
Description: SSU rRNA
Rfam family: Eukaryotic small subunit ribosomal RNA
Source: RNAcentral
GUAUAAGCAAUUAUACGGCGAAACUGCGAAUGGCUCAUUAUAUAAGUUAUCGUUUAUUUGAUAAUACUUUACUACUUGGAUAACCGUGGUAAUUCUAGAGCUAAUACAUGCUAAAAAUCCCGACUUCGGAAGGGUUGUAUUUAUUAGAUUAAAAACCAAUGCCCUCUGGGCUCUCUGGUGAAUCAUAAUAACUUGUCGAAUCGCAAGGCCUUGUGCCGGCGAUGGCUCAUUCAAAUUUCUUCCCUAUCAACUUUCGAUGUUUGGGUAUUGGCCAAACAUGGUGGCAACGGGUAACGGAGGGUUAGGGCUCGACCCCGGAGAAGGAGCCUGAGAAACGGCUACUACAUCCAAGGAAGGCAGCAGGCGCGCAAAUUACCCAAUCCCGACACGGGGAGGUAGUGACAAUAAAUACUGAUACAGGGCUCUUAUGGGUCUUGUAAUCGGAAUGAGUACAAUUUAAAUCCCUUAACGAGGAACAAUUGGAGGGCAAGUCUGGUGCCAGCAGCCGCGGUAAUUCCAGCUCCAAUAGCGUAUAUUAAAGUUGUUGUGGUUAAAAAGCUCGUAGUUGAACCUUGGGCCUGGCUGGCCGGUCCGCCUCACCGCGUGCACUGGUCCGGCCGGGCCUUUCCCUCUGUGGAACCUCAUGCCCUUCACUGGGUGUGACGGGGAAACAGGACUUUUACUUUGAAAAAAUUAGAGUGCUCCAGGCAGGCCUAUGCUCGAAUACAUUAGCAUGGAAUAAUAAAAUAGGACGUGUGGUUCUAUUUUGUUGGUUUCUAGGACCGCCGUAAUGAUUAAUAGGGACAGUCGGGGGCAUCAGUAUUCAAUUGUCAGAGGUGAAAUUCUUGGAUUUAUUGAAGACUAACUACUGCGAAAGCAUUUGCCAAGGAUGUUUUCAUUAAUCAGGAACGAAAGUUAGGGGAUCGAAGACGAUCAGAUACCGUCGUAGUCUUAACCAUAAACUAUGCCGACUAGGGAUCGGACGAUGUUAUAUUCUUGACGCGUUCGGCACCUUACGAGAAAUCAAAGUGCUUGGGCUCCAGGGGGAGUAUGGUCGCAAGGCUGAAACUUAAAGAAA